UACGUAGGUGGCUAGCGUUGUCCGGAUUUACUGGGCGUAAAGAGCGCGCAGGCGGUCGUUCAAGUCGAGUGUGAAAGCCCCCGGCUCAACUGGGGAGGGUCACUCGAUACUGAUCGACUCGAAGGCAGGAGAGGGAAGCGGAAUUCCCGGUGUAGUGGUGAAAUGCGUAGAUAUCGGGAGGAACACCUGUGGCGAAAGCGGCGCACUGGACCACAUCUGACGCUGAGGCGCGAAAGCUAGGGGAGCAAACAGG
RNAcentral lists this ribosomal RNA (253 nucleotides) under uncultured bacterium. RNAcentral's name for it is "partial 16S ribosomal RNA". It matches the Rfam family "Bacterial small subunit ribosomal RNA", at positions 524 to 776 of the family's 1533-position model. The record is from RNAcentral.